UCCUCCGUUCCUCCUCCCCACGCACGGACCUGGUCACCUGGCGGCUGCUUCAGUUGCCCGCAUCUGGAUCUCGUGGUGCCUCUGCCCUCUCGGCUCUCACAGAGCGCGCGGCGCGAGGCCGGGCGGCGCCGGUGCGGCUCUGCACGCACGGCCAGGCGGCGCAACGCCUCCAUCCCCUUCCUCCCAAGCGCAUCCCCCUGCCUCCGCAUCCGCGCCUCCCUGGCGCUGCCCCUGCCUUCCUAUGGCUGAGCACCCACGUCGGCUCCCCUAGGCCGGGCGCCGCUGCCGCCAAUUCGCGGCUCUCCAUGGAGCGGCGUCGCCGUCGACGGCUCGUGGUUCCCCUAGGGCGGGGCACUCCUCCCUGAGCUCAGGCCGCCUCAUCCUCCUCCCCAACCUCGGCGCCGGCGCUGCUCCUCCUCAACCCUCGGGCCGGCGCUGCUCCUCCCCAACCUCGGCGUCGGUGCUGCUCCUCCCCGACGUCGGGCCAGCGCACCUCCUCCCCAACCUCGGCGCCGACGCGCUCUUCUCUGAGCUCCUCCCCGACCUUGAGCAGGUAUAUAAGUUCAUGUAUUGACAAAAGAAUAGCGAGUCACUGAAAUUGGUUGCAGAUUGGUAGAAUAAUAGCAUGUUACUGAAACUAGUGUUCGUGGAUUGACAAAACCUUUGAGGUCUGAACCUUUGAUAGAAGCUAGUGUAGGUUAUCGAUGGUGGUAAGGUUAUCUGAACCUUUGAGCAAACAAUAUUUGCUCAUCAUUGUGCAUUGUUCAGCUAGAACACAUUUUAGUCCACCAGAAUUUCAAACCGCUCUGGAUUCUUUUCCUUAAAUGAUUUCCUGAUGCGUUGGGUGCCAUAUGCCUUGACUUCAGUUGAUCCAUGUUCGCCAAAUUUUAUUACUAGCACUUGCACAACAGGAGAAGGAAGCAAAGAUGUUGCAAGCCUAGUUCAUUGCUGCAUAUAUAGAUGUUCAUGCCUGUUAUAUUCCCUUGCCAAUGGUCUUUUUCUUUGUUUUAAUUUGUCUCAGCAUCUGUCCAUUCCCAUGAUGUUGCUUAUAUUAUUCAUGAGCUUUAUUUAUCCAUGCCUAUGAUGCUCGUGAUGUUACUCCUGAGCAUUUGUCCAUGCCUCGUAUUGGUUGUGUUACUAUGAGCAUCUGUCUGUGCCCAUGAUGCUGUUUCUGAUAACUAUAUAUGAUCUUUUCCAUGCCUAUAAUUUUUCUUAUGUUACUCCUGAGCAUUGCUUGUUUUCAUAUCUGAGGUGUUAGACAAUAUGCUGUGAAGGCAUUUUACUUGCUAUUAGCUAGUCAAAUAUAAGGCUUGGGUAGGAGGCUACCUGGGUCUGCGCUAAGGUAUCUCAGGUACAUGCUAGAACUUCAUGUAAUUGUGCUUUGUUGAAAUUUAUUAUUUCAGGAUUCAGAGAAUUUUUUUCCCCUGCAGGACAAAUUGAACUAUAGUGUUGUCUAUAGUUGUUUCUGGCUUACAGAGUUACGGGUAUUGUUUCUCCUAUAGGAAGAACUGAGGUUUCAGAUUGUUUGGUGCUGCCGAUUAGAGCUUGGAGCUGUUGCUGCCUUCUCUUGUGUGCAAAUACAACACAUUGCAAAGCAUCAGGUGGCUGCCGGCCACUAGCUAGCAUUCUCAUCUCCAUGCCUCCCUCUCCAUGCACCAGAUCAAGCAUGUGGCAACAAGUUAACUUGAUGGAAAGUUAGUUUGUUGUGAGUUCUAAGUUUUUUUCUAGACUCUGAUGGCUUCUAUGCUUUGAGCUAUGUUUGAAUAGGAAGGACAGAGUAUUAGUGGUGUUAAGUGAUUUUGGAUUGUACUCAACGAUGAUCAAUGUUUGUACGGCUAACAUGAUAACUUAUAUCAUUUUGAUUGAUUGGAUUUAGUGGUGAAUGAAUGUGCUUUGUUGGCCCA
Panicum virgatum (switchgrass) is the source of this 1904-nucleotide long non-coding RNA. RefSeq lists it as uncharacterized. The record is from RefSeq and is a predicted model, not a curated record. The transcript has 2 exons. NCBI's taxonomy places the organism in Eukaryota, Viridiplantae, Streptophyta, Magnoliopsida, Poales, Poaceae.